UCCCACGACCUAGUGACUUAGUGCUUGAUGCUCUCUUUCGACUAGCAUCAUUAGGUUUAGGUACCAGUGGCUGGAAUAAUAGUGAAACUGGUGCUGAGGAUCUCAGAUGGAAUUAGGACCGGUUACUACUCCUUAAUCUUAGCGUAGAGUUAUUGGUUCUAGUUCUUUGAUCCAUCUUACGCUCUGUCCCCUCAUUUUGCAGAGUAUUAGCCUACAUAG
This 219-nucleotide long non-coding RNA is filed under the name Capsicum annuum. RNAcentral's name for it is "long non-coding RNA (CANN_LNC011310)". The record is from RNAcentral. Lineage: Eukaryota; Viridiplantae; Streptophyta; Magnoliopsida; Solanales; Solanaceae.